UGCCAUGUGUCAGAGGGACAGAGGAUAGGGCUGCUAGGGACAGUCAGGACCCUGUGGGAGAGAUGUGUGCUGGACUACAGCUUAUUGUCAGAGCGCUUUAAGUUUUGGAUAAUCGUGAAAUACAUCCAAGUGAUGCAUUACCUUGGAAAGAUACCUGAUGUGAUGACCAUGAUCCAGGAACAGGAAAGAAAGUAUGAGAGAUUAUGAUCACAUUCACAGAGACAUGACAUAUGUGACUUCCACUGCCUCCAACUCACCAGAGGAAAAAGAUUUAUGGAUAGUAGAAUUUCUCACCUCACCAGCGGGAUAAAAUGAUUCAUUAGUGGAUAUGAAUAUUUAACGAAUGGCCAACACACAUAUUUAAUAAUUUAUUCUUCAAAAUGAUAUAUUGGUUCUUUUGACCGCCAGUGCCCUCAGCUUUCUGCUGUAAUUUUAUAGUUUAUGACUAGAUGGAGAAUAUACCUACAGUUUUAAGAACGACAUUUAUUGCAACUGUUCACAAUUUUUUCAAUGGUGCAUUACCAUUACUAAUGAGAUUGGUCUUUGGAGUGGGUUAAAAGAGGAAAUACAUGAAGCAGGGACCUGACUUCAAAGUAUAUUGGUGUUACUGAAAGUAAAUAGCUAAAGAUGGGGUACACUCUGCUGUACUCUGUAUAAGAUAUCAUUCCCAUACCCUAUUGAACUAGCAGGAUCGAUCUAUCUCUGAGGGGUUUCUUGCUAAAUUGCAUUUAGUUUAAGCCUGCACAAAAGCCAAUUACCCCCCUGGCAGCUUUAGUGGGCGUGACAGACAUUUAAGCUGCUUAAACUGAAUGCAAUUUAGCGAGAAUCCCCUCCGAGUUAGAUCGAUCCUGCUAGUACGAUAGGUUUAUGGGAACCCAGUCUCAGAGAUAAACAGCAUGGAUGCUCCACAGACUGCAUUUUAUACAUACAGAAGAAUCUGUAUACACAUGUUUCAAUUAUUCAGAACCUCGUUAAAAUGUACUUUGAUAGGUGUGGUGUGUGUGUGAAGUGGUGAAAUAGGAUAGGAAAGUUGCUUUCUUUGCAGGAAGCUUUUUUAUUUCCUGCUGCAAUCAAUUUUGUAUUGAAGUCAUUCAGAUUGAGAUUUUUCUCAUAAGUAGCAUUGGUUUGGAUUACCCUGAGGUUCAGAG
This is a long non-coding RNA of Lingula anatina, 1148 nucleotides long. The record is from RefSeq and is a predicted model, not a curated record. NCBI's taxonomy places the organism in Eukaryota, Metazoa, Brachiopoda, Lingulata, Lingulida, Lingulidae.